UACGAAGGGUGCAAACGUUGCUCGGAAUUAUUGGGCGUAAAGCGCACGUAGGCGGCAUUGCAAGUCGGAUGUGAAAUCCCUCGGCUUAACCAAGGAAGUGCAUCCGAAACUGCAGUGCUUGAGUACGAAAGAGGAUCGCGGAAUUCCCGGUGUAGAGGUGAAAUUCGUAGAUAUCGGAAGGAACAUCAGUGGCGAAAGCGACUUCCUGGACCAGUACCGACGUUCAGGCACGAAAGCGUGGGGAGCAAACAGG
RNAcentral lists this ribosomal RNA (253 nucleotides) under uncultured bacterium. RNAcentral's name for it is "partial 16S ribosomal RNA". It matches the Rfam family "Bacterial small subunit ribosomal RNA", at positions 524 to 776 of the family's 1533-position model. The record is from RNAcentral.